UAGGGAAUCUUCCGCAAUGGACGCAAGUCUGACGGAGCAACGCCGCGUGAGUGAAGAAGGAUUUCGGUUCGUAAAACUCUAUUGUUAGAGAAGAACAGCGCAUAGAGUAACUGUUAUGCGUGUGACGGUAUCUAACCAGAAAGCCACGGCUAACUACGUGCCAGCAGCCGCGGUAAUACGUAGGUGGCAAGCGUUGUCCGGAUUUAUUGGGCGUAAAGCGAGCGCAGGCGGUCAAUUAAGUCUGAUGUAAAAGCCCCCGGCUCAACCGGUGAGGGUCAUUAGAAACAUGUUGACUUGAGUGCAGAAGAGGAGAGUGGAAUUCCAUGGGUAGCGGUGAAAUGCGUAGAUAUAUGGAAGAACACCAGUGGCGAAGGCGACUCUCUAGUCUGUAACUGACGCUGAGGCUCGAAAGCGUGGGUAGGAAACAGG
RNAcentral lists this ribosomal RNA (429 nucleotides) under Bacteroidota bacterium. RNAcentral describes it as "Bacteroidetes bacterium partial 16S ribosomal RNA". It matches the Rfam family "Bacterial small subunit ribosomal RNA", at positions 355 to 776 of the family's 1533-position model. The record is from RNAcentral. Lineage: Bacteria; Pseudomonadati; Bacteroidota.